RNAcentral lists this long non-coding RNA (703 nucleotides) under Equus caballus (horse). RNAcentral's name for it is "lncRNA (ENSECAG00000049582.1)". The record is from RNAcentral. Lineage: Eukaryota; Metazoa; Chordata; Mammalia; Perissodactyla; Equidae.
AUGAGAAUCAGCUUCAGAAGCGUUGCCUGACUGAUCCAAGAGCUGGGAUUGGAACCCAGACAGUCUGACUCUCUCAGCUCUUUGCCUCCCCUUGAGAACGGCGGUUGUGAGGUGCGUCUCUGGCCUGCAGUUCCACGUGUGAGGGGAAUGAGACUCAUGCUGCUGUUUAGGAGGCUUUGUGUCUGUGGCCAAAGAUGAGGAAACUAAGGCCAGAGUGGGAAGUGACUGGCCUAAGGUUAUACAUCUUUUCACAGAGCCUAAAUUAUCGCUGCAGGUUGUCUAUACUUGGAAUGGAAAAAAAGUAUCUGACUAUCCCUGAGGCUGGCAGAUAUGCAGUCAAACCGCACUCCUUUGACGACGUGCUAAACAAGGUCACACCCAAUCAACUGAAGACCAAACCAAUUGAAUAGAGCCAAAAGCCUCAGAGGGAACUUUGCCCACCUGCCUGAUGAGCUGGAACGUUGGUCUUCUCUCGCCCUUGGACUAGAACUUACACCAUUAGCUCUCCUGGUUCUCAGGCUUUUGGAAUCAGAUUGGAACUACACCAGAGCCUCUCUUUCCUGGGUCUCCAGCUUACUGACUGCUGAUCUUAGGACUUCUCAGCCUCCAUAAUCAAGUGAACCAAUUCCUUACACUAAAUCUCUUGUAAAUAAUAAGAUGUAUAUAUCUCUCUCUAUAUAUACAUCUUACUGGUUCUCUUUCU